RNAcentral lists this ribosomal RNA (499 nucleotides) under uncultured bacterium. Its description in RNAcentral is "partial 16S ribosomal RNA". It matches the Rfam family "Bacterial small subunit ribosomal RNA", at positions 28 to 507 of the family's 1533-position model. The record is from RNAcentral.
GAUGAACGCUGGCGGCGUGCCUAAUACAUGCAAGUCGAGCGAAUGGAUUAAGAGCUUGCUCUUAUGAAGUUAGCGGCGGACGGGUGAGUAACACGUGGGUAACCUGCCCAUAAGACUGGGAUAACUCCGGGAAACCGGGGCUAAUACCGGAUAACAUUUUGAACCGCAUGGUUCGAAAUUGAAAGGCGGCUUCGGCUGUCACUUAUGGAUGGACCCGCGUCGCAUUAGCUAGUUGGUGAGGGAACGGCUCACCAAGGCAACGAUGCGUAGCCGACCUGGGAGGGUGAUCGGCCACACUGGGACUGAGACACGGCCCAGACUCCUACGGGAGGCAGCAGUAGGGAAUCUUCCGCAAUGGACGAAAGUCUGACGGAGCAACGCCGCGUGAGUGAUGAAGGCUUUCGGGUCGUAAAACUCUGUUGUUAGGGAAGAACAAGUGCUAGUUGAAUAAGCUGGCACCUUGACGGUACCUAACCAGAAAGCCACGGCUAACUACGUG